AGUGGGGAAUAUUGCACAAUGGGCGCAAGCCUGAUGCAGCCAUGCCGCGUGUAUGAAGAAGGCCUUCGGGUUGUAAAGUACUUUCAGCAGUGAGGAAGGGGGUGUCGUUAAUAGCGGCAUUUCUUGACGUUAGCUGCAGAAGAAGCACCGGCUAACUCCGUGCCAGCAGCCGCGGUAAUACGGAGGGUGCGAGCGUUAAUCGGAAUUACUGGGCGUAAAGCGCAUGCAGGUGGUUUGUUAAGUCAGAUGUGAAAGCCCGGGGCUCAACCUCGGAACUGCAUUUGAAACUGGCAAACUAGAGUACUGUAGAGGGGGGUAGAAUUUCAGGUGUAGCGGUGAAAUGCGUAGAGAUCUGAAGGAAUACCAGUGGCGAAGGCGGCCCCCUGGACAGAUACUGACACUCAGAUGCGAAAGCGUGGGGAGCAAA
This 427-nucleotide ribosomal RNA is filed under the name uncultured Vibrio sp. RNAcentral describes it as "bacterial SSU rRNA". It matches the Rfam family "Bacterial small subunit ribosomal RNA", at positions 353 to 772 of the family's 1533-position model. Lineage: Bacteria; Pseudomonadati; Pseudomonadota; Gammaproteobacteria; Vibrionales; Vibrionaceae. The record is from RNAcentral.